Molecule: ribosomal RNA, 491 nt
Filed under: uncultured bacterium
Lineage: Bacteria
Description: partial 16S ribosomal RNA
Rfam family: Bacterial small subunit ribosomal RNA
Source: RNAcentral
AGUGAACGCUGGCGGUAGGCCUAACACAUGCAAGUCGAACGGCAGCACAGUAAGAGCUUGCUCUUACGGGUGGCGAGUGGCGGACGGGUGAGGAAUACAUCGGAAUCUACUUUUUCGUGGGGGAUAACGUAGGGAAACUUACGCUAAUACCGCAUACGACCUACGGGUGAAAGCAGGGGAUCUUCGGACCUUGCGCGAUUGAAUGAGCCGAUGUCGGAUUAGCUAGUUGGCGGGGUAAAGGCCCACCAAGGCGACGAUCCGUAGCUGGUCUGAGAGGAUGACCGGCCAAACUGGAAUGGGGAAACGGUCCAGACCCCUAGGGGAGGCAGCAGUGGGGAAUAUUGGACAAGGGGGGAAAGCCUGACCCAGCCAUACCGGGGGGGUGAAGAAGGCCUUGGGGUUGUAAAGCCCUUUUGUUGGGAAAAAAAAGCAGCAGGUUAAACCCCCGCUGUUCUGACGGUACCCAAAGAAAAAGCACCGGCUAACUUGGU